This 360-nucleotide ribosomal RNA is filed under the name uncultured bacterium. Its description in RNAcentral is "partial 16S ribosomal RNA". It matches the Rfam family "Bacterial small subunit ribosomal RNA", at positions 338 to 696 of the family's 1533-position model. The record is from RNAcentral.
CCUACGGUGUGCAGCAGUGAGGAAUAUUGGUCAAUGGUCGGGAGACUGAACCAGCCACGCCGCGUGAGGGAUGAAGGUAUAGAGUAUCGUAAAUCUCUUUUGUCAGGGAACAAAGGCGGGGACGUGUCCCCGGAUGAGUGUACCUGAAGAAAAAGCAUCGGCUAACUCAGUGCCAGCAGCCGCGGUAAUACGGGGGAUGCGAGCGUGAUCCGGAUGUAUUGGGUUUAAAGGGUGAGCAGGCGGUUUGUUAAGUCAGCGGUCAAAGCCCGGGGCUCAACCCCGGCCCGCCGUUGAUACUGGCAGUCUCGAGUUGGAGAGAGGUAUGCGGAAUGCGCGGUGUAGCGGUGAAAUGCGUAGAUA